This 2904-nucleotide ribosomal RNA is filed under the name Escherichia coli DEC13C. Its description in RNAcentral is "bacterial LSU rRNA". It matches the Rfam family "Bacterial large subunit ribosomal RNA". Lineage: Bacteria; Pseudomonadati; Pseudomonadota; Gammaproteobacteria; Enterobacterales; Enterobacteriaceae. The record is from RNAcentral.
UUAAGCGACUAAGCGUACACGGUGGAUGCCCUGGCAGUCAGAGGCGAUGAAGGACGUGCUAAUCUGCGAUAAGCGUCGGUAAGGUGAUAUGAACCGUUAUAACCGGCGAUUUCCGAAUGGGGAAACCCAGUGUGUUUCGACACACUAUCAUUAACUGAAUCCAUAGGUUAAUGAGGCGAACCGGGGGAACUGAAACAUCUAAGUACCCCGAGGAAAAGAAAUCAACCGAGAUUCCCCCAGUAGCGGCGAGCGAACGGGGAGCAGCCCAGAGCCUGAAUCAGUGUGUGUGUUAGUGGAAGCGUCUGGAAAGGCGCGCGAUACAGGGUGACAGCCCCGUACACAAAAAUGCACAUACUGUGAGCUCGAUGAGUAGGGCGGGACACGUGGUAUCCUGUCUGAAUAUGGGGGGACCAUCCUCCAAGGCUAAAUACUCCUGACUGACCGAUAGUGAACCAGUACCGUGAGGGAAAGGCGAAAAGAACCCCGGCGAGGGGAGUGAAAAAGAACCUGAAACCGUGUACGUACAAGCAGUGGGAGCACAGAGCAAUCUGUGUGACUGCGUACCUUUUGUAUAAUGGGUCAGCGACUUAUAUUCUGUAGCAAGGUUAACCGAAUAGGGGAGCCGAAGGGAAACCGAGUCUUAACUGGGCGUUAAGUUGCAGGGUAUAGACCCGAAACCCGGUGAUCUAGCCAUGGGCAGGUUGAAGGUUGGGUAACACUAACUGGAGGACCGAACCGACUAAUGUUGAAAAAUUAGCGGAUGACUUGUGGCUGGGAGUGAAAGGCCAAUCAAACCGGGAGAUAGCUGGUUCUCCCCGAAAGCUAUUUAGGUAGCGCCUCGUGAAUUCAUCUCCGGGGGUAGAGCACUGUUUCGGCAAGGGGGUCAUCCCGACUUACCAACCCGAUGCAAACUGCGAAUACCGGAGAAUGUUAUCACGGGAGACACACGGCGGGUGCUAACGUCCGUCGUGAAGAGGGAAACAACCCAGACCGCCAGCUAAGGUCCCAAAGUCAUGGUUAAGUGGGAAACGAUGUGGGAAGGCCCAGACAGCCAGGAUGUUGGCUUAGAAGCAGCCAUCAUUUAAAGAAAGCGUAAUAGCUCACUGGUCGAGUCGGCCUGCGCGGAAGAUGUAACGGGGCUAAACCAUGCACCGAAGCUGCGGCAGCGACGCUUAUGCGUUGUUGGGUAGGGGAGCGUUCUGUAAGCCUGUGAAGGUGUACUGUGAGGUAUGCUGGAGGUAUCAGAAGUGCGAAUGCUGACAUAAGUAACGAUAAAGCGGGUGAAAAGCCCGCUCGCCGGAAGACCAAGGGUUCCUGUCCAACGUUAAUCGGGGCAGGGUGAGUCGACCCCUAAGGCGAGGCCGAAAGGCGUAGUCGAUGGGAAACAGGUUAAUAUUCCUGUACUUGGUGUUACUGCAAGGGGGGACGGAGAAGGCUAUGUUUGGCCGGGCGACGGUUGUCCCGGUUUAAGCGUGUAGGCUGGUUUUCCAGGCAAAUCCGGAAAAUCAAGGCUGAGGCGUGAUGACGAGGCACUACGGUGCUGAAGCAACAAAUGCCCUGCUUCCAGGAAAAGCCUCUAAGCAUCAGGUAACAUCAAAUCGUACCCCAAACCGACACAGGUGGUCAGGUAGAGAAUACCAAGGCGCUUGAGAGAACUCGGGUGAAGGAACUAGGCAAAAUGGUGCCGUAACUUCGGGAGAAGGCACGCUGAUAUGUAGGUGAAGUCCCUCGCGGAUGGAGCUGAAAUCAGUCGAAGAUACCAGCUGGCUGCAACUGUUUAUUAAAAACACAGCACUGUGCAAACACGAAAGUGGACGUAUACGGUGUGACGCCUGCCCGGUGCCGGAAGGUUAAUUGAUGGGGUUAGCGCAAGCGAAGCUCUUGAUCGAAGCCCCGGUAAACGGCGGCCGUAACUAUAACGGUCCUAAGGUAGCGAAAUUCCUUGUCGGGUAAGUUCCGACCUGCACGAAUGGCGUAAUGAUGGCCAGGCUGUCUCCACCCGAGACUCAGUGAAAUUGAACUCGCUGUGAAGAUGCAGUGUACCCGCGGCAAGACGGAAAGACCCCGUGAACCUUUACUAUAGCUUGACACUGAACAUUGAGCCUUGAUGUGUAGGAUAGGUGGGAGGCUUUGAAGUGUGGACGCCAGUCUGCAUGGAGCCGACCUUGAAAUACCACCCUUUAAUGUUUGAUGUUCUAACGUGGACCCGUAAUCCGGGUUGCGGACAGUGUCUGGUGGGUAGUUUGACUGGGGCGGUCUCCUCCUAAAGAGUAACGGAGGAGCACGAAGGUUGGCUAAUCCUGGUCGGACAUCAGGAGGUUAGUGCAAUGGCAUAAGCCAGCUUGACUGCGAGCGUGACGGCGCGAGCAGGUGCGAAAGCAGGUCAUAGUGAUCCGGUGGUUCUGAAUGGAAGGGCCAUCGCUCAACGGAUAAAAGGUACUCCGGGGAUAACAGGCUGAUACCGCCCAAGAGUUCAUAUCGACGGCGGUGUUUGGCACCUCGAUGUCGGCUCAUCACAUCCUGGGGCUGAAGUAGGUCCCAAGGGUAUGGCUGUUCGCCAUUUAAAGUGGUACGCGAGCUGGGUUUAGAACGUCGUGAGACAGUUCGGUCCCUAUCUGCCGUGGGCGCUGGAGAAUUGAGGGGGGCUGCUCCUAGUACGAGAGGACCGGAGUGGACGCAUCACUGGUGUUCGGGUUGUCAUGCCAGUGGCACUGCCCGGUAGCUAAAUGCGGAAGAGAUAAGUGCUGAAAGCAUCUAAGCACGAAACUUGCCCCGAGAUGAGUUCUCCCUGACUCCUUGAGAGUCCUGAAGGAACGUUGAAGACGACGACGUUGAUAGGCCGGGUGUGUAAGCGCAGCGAUGCGUUGAGCUAACCGGUACUAAUGAACCGUGAGGCUUAACCUU